Cyprinus carpio carpio is the source of this 314-nucleotide long non-coding RNA. NCBI's taxonomy places the organism in Eukaryota, Metazoa, Chordata, Actinopteri, Cypriniformes, Cyprinidae. The record is from Ensembl.
UUUUUUUUCAAUCUGCAGAUUGUUUUCAGCAUGCAAUGCAUCAGUGGGUUCCAAUGUUGUUUGGGUCCCAGCGUUCACUGGUAUAUCUUCUUUUGUGUUCAGCAGAAAUCAUACAGGCUUGGAAUGGCAUGAAGUUCUAUUUUAUUUUCAGAGACUGAGGGGAACCUGAGCCCUGAAAGCUGUCAUCUAAUUAAUCACAGCAAUCAAUGGAUGCUGCUUGGCUGGAUUUGUGUUGUGAGCUACCACGUACAUGCCAACACCUGUUCCCCAAGCAAAAAAUACCAGCUAACUGCAUACUGAACAUCAUAUACUGC